UUUUUUCUCAUACACACGUGUGUGCAUGGAGUUG
This 34-nucleotide small RNA is filed under the name Salix viminalis (osier). Lineage: Eukaryota; Viridiplantae; Streptophyta; Magnoliopsida; Malpighiales; Salicaceae. The record is from RNAcentral.